GCCUCUAUGGCUCAGCUGGCAGAGCGUCCGCCUAGUAAGCGGAAGGUCUCCAGUUCGAUUCUGGAUGGAGGCA
RNAcentral lists this transfer RNA (73 nucleotides) under Syncephalastrum racemosum. It matches the Rfam family "tRNA". From Rfam's summary of the family: Transfer RNA (tRNA) molecules are approximately 80 nucleotides in length. The record is from Rfam by way of RNAcentral. Lineage: Eukaryota; Fungi; Mucoromycota; Mucoromycetes; Mucorales; Syncephalastraceae.